Molecule: small RNA, 26 nt
Filed under: Arabidopsis thaliana (thale cress)
Lineage: Eukaryota; Viridiplantae; Streptophyta; Magnoliopsida; Brassicales; Brassicaceae
Description: ATSL028350
Source: RNAcentral
AAGAAGGCUUAAACUACAAUAUGAUA